GGUGAUGUCUUCUGCCUGAGGGCUCCAGUUGCUGAGUGCAGAAUUCCAGCUCAGGCUACCUCGCUCCACCCCUCUCCCUAGGAGCUGUGUCUGCCAUGCACACAAUGCAGAAUUUUGGCACCGUCAAAGACAAGGAGACCUCAGAGGCGAAGACCAAGCCUCCAGAUGAUAGAGCCCUGACUUCACGGAAUCCAAGUCCUACCCCAACCAGACUGUCCAAGAAGAAGGGAAGAAUGCCGAUCCGACCUCCACCAGCCUGGAGCAGGAUGUGAAACCAGGCACGGGAAGCCGCUCGCCCAAGGACGCUCCGCGUGGCCGAGUCCGGCGCCAGCCCGCUGCCCGGUGGUGUUGGCCUUCUCUGCUUCUCCGGUUUCCUCCUGCCUCUGAGCCCUUCUGCCUGCCCGCCUCUCACCUCCUUCGGGACACCUUCUGCUCUGCUCUGCCUCACAGACUCUCUUGUUCUGGAGACUCGGCUCUGCUGUCAUCUUCUCUUUCAAGCCUCUUGUAGAGUUCCCCAAAAUGUGCCCACAGGUGUCCUGUGUGCUCCUGGGCAUGUGCCGCCUCCUC
This is a long non-coding RNA of Sciurus carolinensis (gray squirrel), 567 nucleotides long. RefSeq lists it as uncharacterized. The transcript is spliced from 3 exons. Lineage: Eukaryota; Metazoa; Chordata; Mammalia; Rodentia; Sciuridae. The record is from RefSeq and is a predicted model, not a curated record.